AUACGGAGGAUCCGAGCGUUAUCCGGAUUUAUUGGGUUUAAAGGGUGCGCAGGCGGCCAUUUAAGUCAGCGGUUAAAUCGUGGGGCUCAACCCCAUUCUGCCGUUGAUACUGGGUGGCUUGAUUGCGGUCGAGGUUGGCGGAAUUCGUUGUGUAGCGGUGAAAUGCAUAGAUAUGACGAAGAACACCGAUUGCGUAGGCAGCUGACCAGACCGCAAAUGACGCUCAUGCACGAAAGUGCGGGGAUCGAACAGGAUUAGAUACCCUGGUAGUCCGCACAGUAAACGAUGAAUACUUGUUUUCGGCGAUAUAAUGUCGGAGGCAAAGCGAAAGCGAUAAGUAUUCCACCUGGGGAGUACGCCGGCACCGGUGAAACUCAAAGGAAUUGACGGGG
RNAcentral lists this ribosomal RNA (392 nucleotides) under uncultured bacterium. RNAcentral describes it as "partial 16S ribosomal RNA". It matches the Rfam family "Bacterial small subunit ribosomal RNA", at positions 523 to 918 of the family's 1533-position model. The record is from RNAcentral.